This 73-nucleotide non-coding RNA is filed under the name human gut metagenome. RNAcentral describes it as "Glycine riboswitch". It matches the Rfam family "Glycine riboswitch aptamer", at positions 9 to 86 of the family's 94-position model. Rfam says of the family: This family represents the bacterial glycine riboswitch. Glycine riboswitches usually consist of two metabolite-binding aptamers domains with similar structures in tandem. The aptamers cooperatively bind glycine to regulate the expression of downstream genes. The record is from RNAcentral. RNAcentral also lists the same sequence under 2 other names.
ACAAUCUGGAGACAUCCGCAUGAACGCGGGGGCCGAAGGGGCAAGACCAGACUCUCAGGCAAAAGGACAGAUC